UGUGUGUGUGUGUGUAUGUGUGUGUGUGUGUGUGUGUGCUGUGUGUGAUGUGUGUGGAUGAACAUGUAUUCUAAAGCAUGCGUGCACAGGUUAGAGGACAACUUUGAGGAGUUAGUUCUGUUCUUCCAUUGUCAUGUGAAUUUGAGAGAGACAACUCACAUCUCCAGGCUUGUGACACAAGUACCACUACCCCUGAGCCAUCUCACUGAUCCACAGUCUAGCCUCUUGAUCCACAUAAAUCAACUUUUACUCCUCCAGUACCAUAUGAUUUUAGUGCCACGUACCAUAAGACCCAUUCCUAUAGUGAUAAGAACUCCAGCUUUGCACCUUUAUGUCACCAUGCUGAAUAAAUAAAUAGGCAGAGUCAUUAACAGAGGGAAUUUGGGAAACAAUUCCUUUAUCUAUUCACAUACAUAAGGCUCACAAGAAACGACAUAAAACACAAAGAUAAAAACUGAUUAAAUACCACUAACUAUAUCUCCCACCCAACUUCCCUUUGCUGGCUAACAAACAUGAAGGAAACAAAGGUAUAGAAUAGACUUUUAUAAGGAACUGGCUCUCAUGGUUUGUGGCUGAAAAUCUAGUAUUUCUAGAAUAGACUAACAGUUUGACAGUCCAGAAAUUCAGGUGAGAGUGGAUUUGGCAAUCUUAGAGCUGAAUUUUCUCUACUUUGGGAAACCUAAACCUCUGGUGUUAAGACCUUGAAGUGAUUAGUUGGAGCCCAGUUUUAUGAAAAACUUGUGUAACCACACCAAGACUAAUAUGGGAAAAAUAAAUUAUUUAGCUCAGUUAUCAUAUAAAGUCAAUAAUCACAACCAAUUAAACCAGUAGACAAAGACCUGCUAUUUUUUCAAUUUUUAUUGAAAUACAUAGCCAUGUGAACUCAUUCCUAUGGACCCAUAAAGGAUGUUAGAGUGGACCCACAUGCUUCGUAUUCAAAGUAUCAGCAAAUCUCAUUCAUUUCCUCUUCAAAUACAUCCAGAAUCACUACAUUUCUUUUGAGUUGUGAAUGCUCAAAUCUACUUUUUUCUGUUGUUUCACUAUUUUUGUGACAAUGUACUAAUCUCUGCUUUGUGUUCUUGAAUUAAAGAACUGAUUACUCCCAACUUUUCUAAUUUUAUGAAAACAUAUUAGGACAAAAUAUUUAUUCUUGGAUAAAAAUUCUUUGUGUUUUUUGGGUUUUUGUUAUACCAUUCCAUGUAUUAAAAUGAUAUCCUUUUAUCCAGCUCUGUGCCCUUUGCAUUUUAAUUAUCCAUCUUUGGACAAUUUGGAGUAUUAUAACCCAUGUCCAUUUAAAGGCAGCAACAGUGAAAAUUUGUGACAAGACCCUUUCUUGCUUAGCAAUCUGAUUUCAAGUACUUUAUACAAGAUAAAUUUGGCAGACUGAGCAAAUAGCAAUUCCCAGAUUGGGUGUCCUUCAGAACCAGAAACUAUUAAAGAAUCCCAUUGUGCAGCACGUGCAGAGGGUACUGGGAUGGAAUAGCCCAGAAGAAAGCAGGAAUAGCACAGGAUCAAGAGUGGACUGAUUAUUCCCAAAGUUACUUUCUUUGUAAAGGGAAAAGCAGAGGCAAAUUCUUAUGCUGGUUAAACUCGAUGUGCUUAAGAUAAUUUAGUCAUUAGCUAUUCUGAUUAGUCAGAAGCUCAUACAAAUGACUUACUUUUGCUUUCCUGUUAUAAAACUUUAGCAAUCCCACAUUGCUUUGGUCCAGUGGGAACCAGUGUAAAAGCUCAGUCCAAAUCAAUGGCCUUCUAUAAAUGUUAUUUAAUAUAACUAAAAAAAAAGUUCUUUGGCCUCCUAAUGGAAACUGUUAUGGUUUGAAUGUGAAACGCUGCCCAUAGGUUCUUAUGUUUGAACUCUUGGCCCCCAGCUGGUGGCACAAUUUAAGAAUAUUGGGAAGGUGGAGUUUACUGGAUCACUUGGGUAUGUGUCUUGAGUUUUAUAGCCCAACCUCCUUUCCUAUAUACUUUUGGCCUCCUUACAGUGGAUACAACGUGAUAGUCUGUCUCCUGCUUCUGUCUCCAUGUCUUCCCUAUCUGAUGGAAUGUCUCUCCUUGAACUCUAAGCUGAACUCUUCCUCUCUAAAGCUGUGUCAGGACAUGUAUUUUGUCACACCAACAAGAGAAGUAACUAGCAUAGAGACAUUGACUAUUUACUGCAAAUAUGCUUUGUUUGUGAGGCUUUCAUUUUCAUUUUUCAUGUUGCUCUUAUAUAAUUUCCAGGAAUGGAAAAGGGAAAAGACUAAUGUAUAUAACAUUUCUCAUAUGGCAAUGGCAGACAAUUCUUGCUUGAAUAAUAGCUGAUGUAAAAUAAGUGCUCCAUAAGAACUGUUUAGAUAAAAGAAUUAAUGAUUAAUUUAGUAAAGUACAUUCCCAUACCUAUGAAACUUAGAUAUUCUACUUGUUGGGAAAGAUGUCUAGAUUAGUGCUAUAGGGCCACUAUAUAUUCAUAAUCUCUAGUUCCACUUGGAAUUUUUUUGGUUUUGGUUUUUUUGAGACAGGGUUUCUCUGUGUAGAUUUGGGUGUCCUGGAACUCACACUGGAGACCAGGCUGGCCUCAAACCCACAGAGAUCCACCUGAAUCUGCCUCUCGAAUUCUGGUAUUAGAGGCGUGCUCCACCACGUCUCAUUCGCUUAAAAAUGUUUGUAUUUCCACCUUGAUGAGCCGGUUUCCUGCUCGCCUCAGUAAUAAUAAUUAUAUAUCCUGUGACAGUUUGGUCAGAUAUAGUUCACAUAUAUGACAGCAGUUCUAUGUGAUUAAACCACUGGCUUUGUAGCUAUCUUUAUGUAUGUAAGAACAUUCUGGUAUUUGCUAAAUGAUGAACUAAUAUAACAAUAAAUUUAUCUGAAAUUUUGUAGCCCUUUGUAAAAUGAUUCAUGAUUAUACUCCACCUACAGUAUUCUAUUCACUCAAUCUAUAAAUAUCUAGCUACAUUACUCACAGAUAUUCUUCAACUCCUGAUUCAAUAUGAAAGCGUUUUCAGUUGGAAACCUCAGCUAUGUUAAAAACAUGUAAAAAAAAAAAAACAAAGGUGGGUGUAAGUAUAGUUAUUAGCCACUCAGCAUUCACUUUAGGUGUAAACCAUUGCUUUUGACAUGCUAUUUUUAGCUAGAUGAAAGUUAAUGUCAGGGAAUUUAACUUUUCCCCCUCCCCAGAGGUGCAUUCAUCUACAGUUUCCUUCAAUCCCUGCUCAGAUCUGUGGACUUCGGAUAAGGCAACCUUCUAAGUAACAUCAAAUUCAACCUUUCCUAUCCUUGCCCUCUAUCUCAUCUCUUCAUCACCUUAGGCACUAUGAACUAAUUACCCAUAAGCCCCUUCACUCCUUUAUAUGGAACCUCUAUUUCCCUCCUCCCCUUCCAUCUCUAAGUCUGCUAAAAUGCUCAAGCUGAACUUUCCUCCCUUUCCUUGAAUAGUCAUAUUUCAGACUUGUUUGUUUGUUUUUUGGUUUUUCAAGACAGGGUUUCUCCGUGUUGUUUUUGUCCUGUAACUCUGUAAACCAGGCCGUCCUUAAACUCAGAGAUGUCCAUGCCUCUGCCUCCUGAGUGCUGAGAUUAAUGUUGUGUGCCACCAUAGCCCAGUCAUACUUCAGUUUCUUAAGCAAGGCUUAUAUGCUGUAAUGCCAGAAAGUCAGAGUAAAGGUCCCAGGAGAAAGUCUGUUGGGCACAGAUUGCAAUGAUGCUAUGUUUCAGAAACUAAGCAAACAUGGACGGUGUCCUAAUUCAAAUCAAAAGCAAGUGGGAAUUGAAAUGGUAGAGGCUGAAUUCAGCCACUUAUACAUAGCCGACAACAAACUUCAAUUACUUUGGAAACUGGGGCAGGGAAGAUUCCUUUGGGUACACCAGUCAGCUCCUCACACAGAAGGAACAAGCAGAGACUGAGGCCCGGGAAGCUGAGGGUGGCUGCUGAUAGCAGUUGAAUUUAAAUAUUUGAAAUGUUGUUGAGUGAAAAUCCUGGGCUGGUCCUAUAGUGUAGGUGAGGAAGGAAAGGAGAGAGAUGUAUCUGCAAUGUGAGAGAGAAUUUUCUAUCAGAAUGAUCAAAAAAUAUAAUGAUUUAGCUAGAGUAUGACUAUAUUUUUAGCACUGAAGAAGUUUACUCCUGAAUCCAAAUAAUCAUUUACUAGGCAAUUCUUACAGCACAUCACUUGUUUAGUCACAGGGAUUCUUCCUUCACUGAAGGAAAGCAUGGGAUUUAUUUUGCACCCUGGAGGGAGGGAGGGAUGGAGUACUAAGUGCAUGAAGGUCUGGCUGAAUGUAUAUUGUUGACAUAGGCAAAGCCAUGACAAAGAUCAAGGCCUCAGCCCAUGGCAAAUUGGCAAUGCCUUUCCCCAUAUGGGUUUGUCCUGCUCAAAAUGGCAAAGCCUUCUUCCUCUGGUUCAAGUAUGAAAGUGUAAGGAUUAUUGAUCAGUGUGCACCCAAACUAGAAACUUCAGCUUCCUCCCCCAAGAGGUUUACAGCCAGAGACUGCUUUCCUCCAGAGACCUCCUCCUCCUGGGACUAGCUAACUGUGCUGAAGUUCCCAGCGGUGGUGGUAUAGGUGUGGUUCCAUCAAACUGCAUAGUCCAUCUGAUCCAUCUUUUCUCUGUGUGUCUGUCAAUUCCUCAUCCCCUUGUUGCCCCAGUCAGGGUUCCAGAUCAAAGUUGUGUGGGUUGCAGCUGUACUCUCAACACAUUUAGUGUCUGUCUUAAUUCCUACUCCAUACAUAGUAGGUAUUCAAUAAGUUAGUUAUUAAUGAUGAGAAAUAAUGGUGAUCUUUCAAUAAAUAAUGCAUUAAAUGAAUGCAUUAAAAUAAAAAUAAAAUGGAGAUCACGAGUAAAAGAGGACAGAGUAUCUUUUCUGAAUGUACUGUUGUGUUGUGAGUGCUGUAAAGAUGAUCUUAAAGAAUUUUGUGAACCCCAAAAUACUAUUACCAACAUUAAGCGUUUUCAUGGAAUUCAUGCUUUUUAUCGCAAACUUACCAUUAGUGUUAUAUGAAAAACAAUAAUAUACAAGCUUAGGUUCUUGAUUCUGAGAAACUAGCAACUCCUGAGUGCCAAAUACAUUUAAAUGAAGUAAUUGAAAGGAAAACAAGAGAUAUAUGGUCCCACGAACACAGGAACACUUCUGGUCCCCAGGUAGCCAAAAUGCCUUUAUUAUUUUGUUGGUGAAUUUGACUGCUCACAUUUGUCAAGGCAUCAGCAUUAAUUUCAAUAAUAGCAUGGUUUGUAACAUUAGGUACUGUUAUGGGUGGUUUAUAUCUCUGAUUAUCUGCAAAUAGGAACAAUAACUCCUGAUAUAAUUCUAUGAUCGACUGAGAGAAUGUAAACCAGGUUCUUCAAAUUGAGUUGUCAUUAUCAAUGUACAGAGGGUUCAUUUUUCUGCUCUUUUGAUGUAUAGAUAAUAUUUAUUUUCUUACUAUGCUAGUAGUUGGUACUUAGGUUUAUCUAGUUUGUAUUUUUCCCUGGAGGGAAAAUAAUUUGGUCCUAGAGCAUAUUGGGUGGGGUGCUUGACGAAAUGUGAGUUAAAGAAUACAUCCUUUGGCAGAAGGGACACAUCUUACUAUUGAAAAUGUAAACUGAGUACUUAUGGGAUGGAAGAUGAGGGUUACUGGGGAGAAGAUUGAUUGGCACUCUUGGUAGUUGAUUCGCCCAUUGACUUUUUGCUUCUGUUUCUUGAUGUGCCUUUCUAGAAGCCAUUUGUUGCUGUUGGAUUACGAUUUCAGUGCUCCUACACUGCCUUCCUGGACAGUUAUUCCAUAGGUGGCAUUCACAUCAUCCAGACUCCUCCAUUGUCUUGCUUGUUUUUCGCCAUUAUACUUAGGGAAUGUUCUGGAAAUGCAACAUCCUGAGGUUAGGAGGGAGAUGCAUAGAACAUUCUAGGCUCAGUUCUAGCUUUUCAUAGAACAAGGUUUUCACCACAUUCUCACAGUCAGUAAUAUGACCAUGGAGACAUAAAUUCCAAUGCACUUUGCUUUUGGGGAACUUCUCAUCUGGUAUAAGUGGAACAGUCAAGGCCUCAUCUACUCCAGGAAGUUUUCUGGGCUAAGACUUAGAGCAAAUUCUUGACUUCUGUUGUGUCUUGCUGCCUAUCUGAAAGUAAUAAAACUGCUUCAUGUAAAUUCAUCUACAUGUGGGUAUUCUGUUUCAUCAGAUAGAUGAGUUGAUAAUCAGUACACAAUGAAAUGGCUUCAUACUUCCUGCUAUCUGAAGUCCUUAAGCAUGAGAAGGAAUGAUUGAUGGCGUGUGAGUGAGUGGUGCCUGUCAAAUCCACAAACAAGACUGCUGCAAUUCAUUGUUAGCUCGGCCAAGUUAACAAUGGUUGCACAGCGCAGGACCAAUUGGGCUUUAAACUAAAUCCCUAUUUCUGUGCAAACGGCUGAUUUGUUGACUCCUUCUAGAGUAAGGCUGGCUACAUGGAACCGUGAGAAGCUGAACUGUGGAGACAAGAACAGUAUUUUUUCCCCAAUGGUCAAGUUCUGUGGUGGCCUUCUGGAACAGAUUGAAUUACUUCCACAUCUUCUGAUGUAUUUUUUUCCCUUUGCUCUCUAAAACUAGAAGUAACAUUUAAAAAUCAUGUCCAUUUCAAAGUUAAAAUAUCUUCAUUUUCUUCAUUUUAAAGGUUCUUUUUUUUUUCUGAUUCUGUGCUUCAGUGAACACGUUUAUUUCCAAGCACCAAGAGCAACAGGAGCUCCUUCAGACUGUAUCAGCUUACAAGCCAGUGUGCAAAGACAGGAUGAAAAACCACAGGCUUAUGGGAUGCUUCCUGUAGGGGCCAAAUUGCUUGCCACUCUUGCUUCACCAAGCUGUCUAGAAAAACAUUUGGUUUCCAGAUGUUCAGUAUGACAGGACCCUUGUUCUUUUUCAGGAUCCAUGGGACUUGUACUAUCCAAGAUACCAUCAGAAUGUUUUUCCAUAGUGUUUUCAGGUAAACAUGUAAAGGCUAGGACAAGAAGACAGGCUUCCAAAGCAGACUGAAGACCCUGCUCAUUCCUUCACUGAUAUUACAAACACCUUCUUCAGAUUUCUGAAAUGACCAGAGGCUCCCUAGGGCUCCUCCAGGCCUUCACAACCAGAUUGGGACUUGGAGACUGAACCAACAUUGGGUUCAUGACUCUUGGGUUAUCUGGCAUGAUACACAUUUUCUUCUAUAACUCUGAAUGUAUGUAAAUGAGUGUAAUAAAUACUCUUUUAAUAUG
Molecule: non-coding RNA, 7168 nt
Organism: Cricetulus griseus (Chinese hamster)
Lineage: Eukaryota; Metazoa; Chordata; Mammalia; Rodentia; Cricetidae
Source: RefSeq, a predicted model, not a curated record